GGGGGAUAACACUUAGAAAUAGGUGCUAAUACCGCAUAAGCGCACGGUUCCGCAUGGAACAGUGUGAAAAACUCCGGUGGUAUACGAUGGAUCCGCGUCUGAUUAGCCAGUUGGCGGGGUAACGGCCCACCAAAGCGACGAUCAGUAGCCGGCCUGAGAGGGUGAACGGCCACAUUGGGACUGAGACACGGCCCAAACUCCUACGGGAGGCAGCAGUGGGGAAUAUUGCACAAUGGGGGAAACCCUGAUGCAGCGACGCCGCGUGAGUGAAGAAGUAUCUCGGUACGUAAAGCUCUAUCAGCAGGGAAGAAAAUGACGGUACCUGAUUAAAAAGCCCCGGCUAACUACGUGCCAGCAGCCGCGGUAAUACGUAGGGGGCAAGCGUUAUCCGGAUUUACUGGGUGUAAAGGGAGCGUAGACGGCAGCGCAAGUCUGGAGUGAAAUGCCGGGGCCCAACCCCGGAACUGCUUUGGAAACUGUGCAGCUCGAGUACAGGAGAGGUAAGCGGAAUUCCUAGUGUAGCGGUGAAAUGCGUAGAUAUUAGGAGGAACACCAGUGGCGAAGGCGGCUUACUGGACUGUAACUGACGUUGAGGCUCGAAAGCGUGGGGAGCAAACAGGAUUAGAUACCCUGGUAGUCCACGCCGUAAACGAUGAUUACUAGGUGUCGGGGGGCCAAGGCCCUCCGGUGCCGGCGCAAACG
Molecule: ribosomal RNA, 702 nt
Filed under: uncultured bacterium
Lineage: Bacteria
Description: bacterial SSU rRNA
Rfam family: Bacterial small subunit ribosomal RNA
Source: RNAcentral